This 414-nucleotide ribosomal RNA is filed under the name uncultured microorganism. RNAcentral describes it as "bacterial SSU rRNA". It matches the Rfam family "Archaeal small subunit ribosomal RNA", at positions 459 to 872 of the family's 1478-position model. The record is from RNAcentral.
CAGCCGCCGCGGUAAUACCUGCGGUCCAAGUCGCAGCCACGAUUAUUGGGUCUAAAACAUCCGUAGCUUGCUUGGUAAGUCUCUUGUGAAAUCCCGUAUCUCAAGUACGGGGCGAGCAAGAGAUACUACCAAGCUAGAGACCGGGAGACGUAGGGAGUACGUCCGAAGUAGCGGUAAAAUGCGUUGAUCUCGGACGGACUAACGAUAGCGAAGGCACCCUACGAGAACGGUUCUGACAGUGAGGGAUGAAGGCUAGGGGCGCAAAAGGGAUUAGAUACCCCUGUAGUCCUAGCAGUAAACACUGCGCACUAAACAUCAGUACCUCCUCGAGAGGUAUUGGUGCUGAAGGGAAGCCGAAGAGUGCGCUACCUGGGAAGUAUAGCCGCAAGGCCGAAACUUAAAGGAAUUGGCGGG